UCGGCACCUGUGGCACCUGGUGGCGGAGGGAAAGUUCCAUCGAGUCAGGGUGCCUCGCUCUUGAUGCCUGCAGCUGCUCCCGUCCAUCCGUCUCUUUUCUUCUCCCUUGGACAAAACCCAAACAAAGCAGAACGAAAGCCCAAAAUCAAAAGCCAAGUGGAGCGGUGACGGGACCCGCUGUGUGUGUUCCCCAGGAUGCCUCGGGGCUUGCUCUGAGUUUAAGCCCAAACUUGCCAGGGCAAAUCCAGUCCCCAGCUGUGCCUUCAGGGAUGUCAUGCUUCAAAGCAUUAGUUAAGGGGAACGGGGCCAGAUGGCUUUUUGUCUUUAGUUUUUUUUUAAUUAAUUAAUUUGCACAACUAACCAGGUAGAGAGUUAGAGAACUAACUCUUCUGUUUAAAA
This 399-nucleotide long non-coding RNA is filed under the name Rattus norvegicus (Norway rat). RNAcentral's name for it is "long non-coding RNA NONRATT026627". Lineage: Eukaryota; Metazoa; Chordata; Mammalia; Rodentia; Muridae. The record is from RNAcentral.